GCCGGGGUAGGGUAGUGGUUAUCCUCAGGGAUUGUGGCUCCCUGGACUCGGGUUCAAAUCUCGGCCCCGGCC
The sequence is a transfer RNA, 72 nucleotides long. It matches the Rfam family "tRNA". From Rfam's summary of the family: Transfer RNA (tRNA) molecules are approximately 80 nucleotides in length. Their secondary structure includes four short double-helical elements and three loops (D, anti-codon, and T loops). The record is from Rfam.